GGUUAAUGGAUAACAAAAACAUACAAACAAGUUUGCUUUCUCAUAAUUUGAAAGGUCAAUCCAUGCUGUAGGCUCUUAACUAUGAUUAGUACAACCGCAAUUUGAGGGAAUUCUGAAUUGAACCACCCUGUUUUGGGUAUUGUCUGAUUUGAAUUAACACUGGAAUACAGGUAUUCCUAAGCCGACAUCCCUUUUAUUGCCAUUUUCUUCAUGUGGAAAGCAACAAACCUGGAGAGGCAUUCCUGUUUGUGCAGAGAACCUUCAUUAAAGCAAGGAUGCUGGAAAAUCAGAGUGCUUCUGCAGCACGUCUCCAAUGGGACAAGUUUCUCUCCUUGUCAGAUUUGUGAUUUUUCAUGGAGGGGGUGGAAUUGCCACUACCCUCUUCACAUGGUGAUUCACACUGGUUGGAAUGGACCCAGAGUGGAGAAGUAAAUACUGCCAUCCAUUAGGAAGAUAUGAAAAGAGACAUCUACAACUGCCCUCUCCUCACAAACUUCUGGAAAAUCGCUCACUGAGGACAGCAAAAGCUUUCUUUGGGACUCCACCUUAAAAAGCCAGGACAAGAAGAGCAGUGAAUCAUCCUCCUCAAUCAAGAUACACUCUCACAGUACUUUAAUUCCAAUUUCCUUGUAAGAGGCAAUUAGUUCUCCCGGCUAUCUUUGUAAUUUAUCUCUAUCAAAAUGAAACUCAACCUUUAUUGGAAUUGCUCUGAAGAAACUAAAAACCCACACUUACCUAAACAACACUGCAGCUUUCAACACAGUAGCAAUUUGUUCCAUGGCUAGGACUGGCCUAGCCAUUAGGCAGCCAGGUAGCUGAAGCUAGAGCAGAAAUGGUAGUCACACCAUCCCAGACAUUCCCAUCUGUUGGAUUUAUAUGGUCUGUUCUGCACCUCCUUAUUUAGACUACUGCCCCCAGGCAUAGUGAAGGACACUGCCCAAUAACUGGCUGUUGUUGUUGUGUGCCUUCAAGUUGUUUCUGACUUACAGUGACCUUAAGGAGAAUCUAUCAUGGGGUUUCCUUGCCCAGGUUCACCCAGUGGAUUUCCUGGCUGCGCAUGGAAUUGAAUCCUGGUCUUCAGAGUCAUAGUUCAGAACUCAAACCAGUAUACCACGCUGGUAAUGGAGUAAAAUUUAUCUGGUGGUCCAGUCCACCUUUGUAGCUGGAAUGGAAGGGGGCAUCAUAUUAUUUGCCUCAGGAAACAUAAUGUUAUAGAAUAGCCCCUUUGUAUGGCAUCAGCUGAGACUAUUACAAUUAGAUGAUGAGCUAGUUUUCACAUUUGGUGAAACUCUAUCUUGACCCUGGUCUGAAAUCAAUCAAAAGAAGGAAAUAAUAUUGUCAUGUUGAAAUUUAACCAACUUUACAGCCAGACAACUAUCUCACGGUAAGUUUACGGAGAGCCACACUGACCACUGUUACAAAAUGAGGUCAAAGAAUGCUAUUUAUAACUCGCACAGCAUGGGAAUGUAUUAAUAUCUAUUGUUUGUGACUGAACCAGUCUGUCUUCAAGAUGUCGCACUUAGUGGAUGCUAAAAGAUGAGAGUCAUGGCACAUCCACCAGAAAUGACUGGAGAUCAAUGUCGAUAACAUUCCUUUUCUCACAGUCACAUUGUUAGGCUGGAUCAGUUCGAGUUAG
Long non-coding RNA from Sceloporus undulatus (fence lizard), 1636 nucleotides. RefSeq lists it as uncharacterized. The record is from RefSeq and is a predicted model, not a curated record. Lineage: Eukaryota; Metazoa; Chordata; Lepidosauria; Squamata; Phrynosomatidae. The transcript has 3 exons.